RNAcentral lists this ribosomal RNA (253 nucleotides) under uncultured bacterium. RNAcentral describes it as "partial 16S ribosomal RNA". It matches the Rfam family "Bacterial small subunit ribosomal RNA", at positions 524 to 776 of the family's 1533-position model. The record is from RNAcentral.
GACGAACCGUGCGAACGUUGUUCGGAUUCACUGGGCUUAAAGGGCGCGUAGGCGGCUCGCCGAGUCAGGGGUGAAAUCUUUCGGCUCAACCGGAAAAGCGCUUCUGAUACUGGCGGGCUGGAGGGAGGUAGGGGCGACUGGAACUUCCGGUGGAGCGGUGAAAUGCGUAGAUAUCAGGAGGAACACCAAUAGCGAAGGCAGCUCGCUGGGACGUUACUGACACUGAGGCGCGAAAGCGUGGGGAGCGAACAGG